AGUGAACGCUGGCGGUGGGCCUAACACAUGCAAGUCGAACGGCAGCACAGUAAGAGCUUGCUCUUACGGGUGGCGAGUGGCGGACGGGUGAGGAAUACAUCGGAAUCUACUUUUUCGUGGGGGAUAACGUAGGGAAACUUACGCUAAUACCGCAUACGACCUACGGGUGAAAGCAGGGGAUCUUCGGACCUUGCGCGAUUGAAUGAGCCGAUGUCGGAUUAGCUAGUUGGCGGGGUAAAGGCCCACCAAGGCGACGAUCCGUAGCUGGUCUGAGAGGAUGAUCAGCCACACUGGAACUGAGACACGGUCCAGACUCCUACGGGAGGCAGCAGUGGGGAAUAUUGGACAAUGGGCGCAAGCCUGAUCCAGCCAUACCGCGUGGGUGAAGAAGGCCUUCGGGUUGUAAAGCCCUUUUGUUGGGAAAGAAAAGCAGCAGGUUAAUACCCCGCUGUUCUGACGGUACCCAAGAAUAAGCACCGGCUAACUUCGUG
This 491-nucleotide ribosomal RNA is filed under the name uncultured bacterium. RNAcentral describes it as "partial 16S ribosomal RNA". It matches the Rfam family "Bacterial small subunit ribosomal RNA", at positions 29 to 507 of the family's 1533-position model. The record is from RNAcentral.